UAUUUGGUCCGAGAAAUCGAUUCUUCGAU
RNAcentral lists this small RNA (29 nucleotides) under Bombyx mori (domestic silkworm). RNAcentral describes it as "piRNA piR-bmo-1814323". The record is from RNAcentral. Lineage: Eukaryota; Metazoa; Arthropoda; Insecta; Lepidoptera; Bombycidae.